UGGCGGCACUAGCGCGGUGGUCCCACCUGACCCCAUGCCGAACUCAGAAGUGANGAAACGCCGUAGCGCCGAUGGUAGUGUGGGGUCUCCCCAUGCGAGAGUAGGGAACUGCCAGGCA
This 118-nucleotide ribosomal RNA is filed under the name Salmonella enterica subsp. enterica serovar Typhimurium str. DT104. The record is from RNAcentral. Lineage: Bacteria; Pseudomonadati; Pseudomonadota; Gammaproteobacteria; Enterobacterales; Enterobacteriaceae.